RNAcentral lists this ribosomal RNA (466 nucleotides) under uncultured bacterium. Its description in RNAcentral is "partial 16S ribosomal RNA". It matches the Rfam family "Bacterial small subunit ribosomal RNA", at positions 28 to 507 of the family's 1533-position model. The record is from RNAcentral.
GAUGAACGCUGGCGGCGUGCUUAACACAUGCAAGUCGAACGGAAAGGCUCCUGCUUGCAGGGGUACUCGAGUGGCGAACGGGUGAGUAACACGUGGGUGAUCUGCCCAGCACUUCGGGAUAAGCCUGGGAAACUGGGUCUAAUACCGGAUAGGACGAUGGUUUGGAUGUCAUUGUGGAAAGUUUUUUCGGUGUGGGAUGAGCUCGCGGCCUAUCAGCUUGUUGGUGGGGUAAUGGCCUACCAAGGCGUCGACGGGUAGCCGGCCUGAGAGGGUGUACGGCCACAUUGGGACUGAGAUACGGCCCAGACUCCUACGGGAGGCAGCAGUGGGGAAUAUUGCACAAUGGGCGCAAGCCUGAUGCAGCGACGCCGCGUGGGGGAUGACGGCCUUCGGGUUGUAAACUCCUUUCGCUAGGGACGAAGCGCAAGUGACGGUACCUGGAGAAGAAGCACCGGCUAACUACGUG